GCUGGUUCUUUUAUUUUAUAAAAUGUGUCUGAUGUCAGGGAUAGUUAGAACAGCAAAAACAGGAUAAAGGAUGUACUGUUUCAGAAGUAAGGUGAGCUAGUUGGAAAGCUGUGUUGGGGGCAGGAGCUUUGAGACUUGCCUUAGUGGAGACCCGGCAGGCGAAAGAAACAGCGCAGGGGCGGGGAUGCGCAGGCGCACCGCUGCCUGGAAGGCAUGCACUACAGCCGGAAGUGCGGUGAAGACAUGGCCUCCCCGCCGGAGAUGAGCCUAGAGGACGAGGCCUCUCAGAGCCCGGGAGUCCUGGAGCUCCGCGGAGAAGGGCCUGGUCAGUACCUAGGUUGGGACACAAGGUGUGGCGGGGCUUGGACACCCGAAAACAAACUUUUUCUGGGCAAGGCCAGCGGAUGGGAGGGAACGGCGCCGUCACCGCCACUGCCAAUGGACAGUGCCAAUACUGAGGCUCCCUGGGUGGCAGCCCCUUGACUCCUCUGCCCCUGUCCUGGCUUCAGUGCCCCCAUGUGGGUCGCAUUUCUACCCAGCACCCCCCUGCCCCUGUCUCCUCUGUCCUCGCUCUCUUCGCUCUGUCUUCUGUCCUCCCUCUACUGUCUCUCAUCUCCAGAGUCCCCGCCGCGCACUGUCUCAACGGCCCUCUCUUGCCUUCUGCCUUCUGGUCGCUUCCCCUCUCUCCUCUCCCCCACCCCAUAGUCCCCUUCCCCCCUCACCAUCCUGGACCCGAUUCUUCUGUCUCACUCCUCCGCUCCUCUCCCCUUCAAACCCCUCUCCCUGCCUGACACCUCCCCACUUUCUCACCGUUCCUUCCUCCCUUUCUACCUCAAUUCUCCCUUCCUCCCCGCUUCAUAUCCCCCACCUGUGUCUCUCCCCACAUCUUGUUUCUCCCUCCUCUCUGAUUUUCCUUCUUUGCAGAUAUGAAGCCAAGGUCCACCUGCCUGGUUGAAGCUGGACAGGAAGAUGGGAAGAAAUUCCCUGAGCAGGGAGCACCAGAAGGAGAAGGAGACUGUGUAAUGGGCCUGGGAGCUCCUGGCCCCAAGAAGGAAGACAAGGAGACCCUGGAGGACAGUGAUGUGACCUCCCUGGUUGUACCAGGAGAUGUGUGGGAGGAAGACAGAGAGGAGGACCUGCUCCCUGAGCGGGCGGCAGCAGCGGGAGAAGGCCGCUGCCCCAAGAAGGAGGACGAGCAGCAGGAGGGCAGAGGCAGUGAGCAGGAGCCUGGGCAGGAGCAGCUGGAGGGGCCCUGCCUCUUGUGCGAUGUGCUCUGCAGGUUGCAGCUGCAGCAGGUGGAGCGCAUUUUCCAGCGCACUCAAUACCCAGAUGUGUUUGCAAGAAAGGAGGUUUCCAUACCCACGUGUGUCACUGACGCCACGGUGAAGCCCAGGGACCCCGAAAACGAUUCGCCGUGAAAGCCUCUCUAGAACCUGCUUCAACCUGGCCUCGCUGUUCUCCUAGGCAGUUUUGGGCUGCUGCGUUUGCACUGCCUUUUAGCGUGUUUGUGAGGAAAGGUUUGAAUUGGGGCUGUUGUCAGAGAAUGGCACAAGUGAAUGUCACGAUGUGGAAAUUUGUCGUUACCAAGAGGGACAAGUCUCACUAAUGGAAAAGAAAUGAAAGGACCCAAUUGCUGCUCCGAACCCUUUGAACAAGUAAAGUAGAAAUACAAGUCAGCUCCUCGUAAUGGUGGUGUCUUUAGGGAGCACGUGUGUGGGGAGUCAUGCUGGGUUCAGUCUGACCUGGGAAGCAAGCAGAGUCAUGACCGAGGACCGAGGCUGUGAGAGGGUUCGGCCCUUGAAUGAUUAAAACUAUUCAGCCGUGUGAGGAUGCAGCUAGGGCAGUGAGCUUCUAAAUGUGUGGGCACCGGGGAAAGGGGAUCAAUACUCCCACACAGAACGCCCACAGUGGGAGUCAGCCACGUGGGCUUCACCAUGUGGACCGGGCUGUGGGGAGGAGACAGCUUAAAAUCCAAGGGCCGGGCUGUCCGCUGUUGUUUUAGUGUGGCCUAGAGCAGAGUGGAAAGGCCUGGGCUUGAGCUCCCGGGCGCGGGGUGGCGUGGCAGGAAGGAGCAACCAUGGCUCCAGUGCUCACCUUAGGAGGAGGCUGAGGGCAGCGUCGACAAACCGCAGAUUUGUCUGGAACCUGAACAGACACCGGGGUAGCAUACACUCCCACUGCCCUCAGGGACAAACGGCUUCCAGGUGAGCUGCAAACACUCACACGUUACCUCGAGGAUAAUGUCCCAAGUUGAGCUGUACGAAAGAUUAUUCUCUCCAGGAAUUUGCAAGAUGCAGGGAAUUUCAGAUUUUGGUGGUUGGAUUUUCAAACCCUGGGUUUUGUGGGGAACCUGUUUGGUGGAGCAGAGUAGAGGAUAGCGUUUCGGAUCCGAUUCUUGCCCUGGGCAUUGGAGUCCUCCCUGCUGGUGUGGCAGUGAGUCCUGAUUGCAUGGGGUCGCAGUAUCGGGAAUCCACACCACACGCAGCCACGUGCUGUAUAAAGUCCUUUGGGCCCGACUCGCUCCCGGAUGUGUUUUAUUGGGUUUCCUGUGCAGUUUGUGUGUGUGCUCAAUGACUGAAAGGAGGUGGCCAUUUGCGGGUGGUCUCGGUGAAUUUGGACGUGGCUCCGGUGGCUGCCCCAGACUCUAGGCUGUCACACCAGAGCCAUUGGGCAGGAGGGGCGUCCACACCUCUAAUGCCCCCGCAGGGCAAGCCGCCAAUGCUCCUGAUCCCCAUUGUCAGGCCUUCCUUGGCAC
Molecule: long non-coding RNA, 2755 nt
Filed under: Fukomys damarensis (Damara mole-rat)
Lineage: Eukaryota; Metazoa; Chordata; Mammalia; Rodentia; Bathyergidae
Description: lncRNA (ENSFDAG00000024986.1)
Source: RNAcentral